This 275-nucleotide unclassified non-coding RNA is filed under the name Oidiodendron sp. RNAcentral describes it as "partial contains 5.8S ribosomal RNA, internal transcribed spacer 2, and large subunit ribosomal RNA". The stretch from base 1 to 71 matches the Rfam family "5.8S ribosomal RNA", at positions 84 to 154 of the family's 154-position model. Lineage: Eukaryota; Fungi; Ascomycota; Leotiomycetes; Myxotrichaceae. The record is from RNAcentral.
GUGAGUCAUCGAAUCUUUGAACGCACAUUGCGCCCUGUGGUAUUCCGCAGGGCAUGCCUGUUCGAGCGUCAUUUCAACCCUCAAGCCCGGCUUGGUGUUGGGCCGCGCCUACCGUGGCCGGCCCUAAAGACAGUGGCGGCGCCGCCUGGCCCUCAGCGUAGUACAGCUCUCGCUCCAGGGACCGGCGGUAGCCUGCCAGAACCCCCCAACUCUGUGGUUGACCUCGGAUCAGGUAGGGAUACCCGCUGAACUUAAGCAUAUCAAUAAGCGGAGGA